CCUACGGGAGGCAGCAGUGGGGAAUAUUGCACAAUGGGGGAAACCCUGAUGCAGCAACGCCGCGUGGGUGAAGGAGCGUUUCGGCGCGUAAAGCCCUGUCAGCGGGGAAGAAGAAAGACGGUACCCGACCAAGAAGCCCCGGCUAACUCAGGGCCAGCAGCCGCGGUAAUACGUGGGGGGCGAGCGUUAUCCGGAAUUACUGGGUGUAAAGGGAGCGUAGACGGCGAGGUAAGCCUGAAGUGGAAGCCCGCGGCCCAACCGCGGAACUGCUUUGGGAACUGUUUUGCUGGAGUAUGGGAGGGGUAAGCGGAAUUCCUGGUGUAGCGGUGAAAUGCGUAGAUAUCAGGAGGAACACCGGUGGCGAAGGCAGCAUACCGGCGCCCAACUGACGCUCAUGCACGAAAGUGUGGGUAUCGAACAGGAUUAGAUACCCGUGUAGUC
This 441-nucleotide ribosomal RNA is filed under the name uncultured bacterium. RNAcentral's name for it is "partial 16S ribosomal RNA". It matches the Rfam family "Bacterial small subunit ribosomal RNA", at positions 338 to 795 of the family's 1533-position model. The record is from RNAcentral.